This is a non-coding RNA of Peromyscus maniculatus bairdii (prairie deer mouse), 2224 nucleotides long. The record is from RefSeq and is a predicted model, not a curated record. Lineage: Eukaryota; Metazoa; Chordata; Mammalia; Rodentia; Cricetidae.
GAGCCUCAGCUGAGACAAUGCCUCCGUAAGAUAGUGCUGUAGGCAAACCUGUGGAGCAUUUUCUUAGGGCUUGAUGCAGAAGGGGCCAGCCCUUUGUGGGUGGUGUCAUCCCUGGGCUGGUGGUCCUGGGUUCUCUGAGCAAGCCGUGGGAGCAAGCCAGUAAGCAGCACCCUUCCAUGGCCUCUGCGUCAGCUCCUGCCUCCAGGUUCCUGCCCUGUGAGAGUUCCUGUUCCCACUCCCCACGAUGAACAAUGAUACCGAAACGCACAGUCUCUUACUGAAUAUGAAGUGCUCCGUUUUGGCUAGCCUGGACGGUCAGUGAACAAGAUGACAAGGAUUCUCCUGCCUCCACACCACCAGUACUGGGGUUACAGACAUGUGCUGUCAUGCCAAGCUUUUGAAUAUGGGUGCCAGAGAUCCAAACUUGGGUCCUCAUAUUUAUGCAGUAAGCAUUUUACCCAUUGACAUGUCAUCCCAGUCAUGACAUCUUCACUUUUAAAAUUAGGUAAAGGACAUAGACAGAAAUUUCUCACAAGAACUCAGAAUUCGUUACUUAAUGUAUGAAGAAAUGCCUCAACAUCACUCAUCAUUAAUGAAAUGGCAAAAAGGGGGAAACACUGUGGAAUAAUCCUUCUGUACCACUGUAAAAAUGUGUUGCUCUCAUUGUUAAUAAAAGACUGAGUGGCCAAUAGCCAGGCAAGAUUUUCAAGGUAGAGAGAAUGCCGGGAAGAAGGGCAGAGUGAGAAGAGUCACGAUCCAGAGGCAGAAGAAGCAACAUGAAAAGUUCAUAGAUGAGGCUAUGAAACUUGUAAUUUGUGAAUGAAGAAUGUGCUGAAAUGUGGAGUAACUGGAAGACUUGGACUAUGUAAAUCUGACCAGGAAACUCUUGGGAUACUGAGUCUGUCCUCCAUGGAAGAAAUUGACCCUAGCAAAUAAAUAUAAACAGAAAGUAGAAACAAAAAAAAGCAAAAUAAAUAAAUAAAUAAAUAAAUAAAUAAAUAAAUAAAUAAAUAAAUAAAAAGUCAGAGUCUUCGUGGAGUCGAAGGAUGGUGUGAGCAAAGCAAGCCUGUUCUGUGUAACUUUCAUUUCAUUACUUGUAAGGGUUCCAUAAAAUCAUCCUCGGUCCCUGUAAGUUAGAUGCCUACGUUCUUCUGACCGCACAACCCUGCUUCGUCUUGGAACAUUCUCUCCAGGUUAGGUGCUCAGACUGUGACCUCUGCAAACCAUAAACUAUAAACUCUCUCCCCUCUCUGAGAUUGCUCAUUGUCUUGUGAGAGAACAAUGACUGUGGAAAAGAAAAGAAAAAAAAUGCGAGCAAACGACUGUGUGCGUCAGGAAAUUACUCAUUUUCAAUCCCCCAGCUGUCAUGCUCCUUAGGGUUACAAUCUCAGCUCUACAUUUCAAAUGUUAUUCUGUGGUCCUAAAAUAUAAGUAGAACAUAGAGAGAAAAUGCCGCUCCCCAAAGCUGAGGACUCAAAUAUGAUUAUCUGGAUAUUCUUUGUGAAUGGACCUCAUCUCUUUCACUUUCCUUGUCCUUCUCUUCUCCUUUCAUUAUUAAUUUUUUUAAGUUUCAAUUUAAAAGCCCUCAUAAACACAGAAACUUCCAUCUUAUUCUUAUUUUCAGAAGUGGUAAUCAUGUUCAUAGUGCUAUGAAACAGAAACCCAUAACAUUUCGUCUACCACGUUGAACGUCUGCGCUCAUUAUAGAGCCACACUCCAUUUCCUCAUGUCUCAGUUACUUCUGCUGCUGUGAGAAAAUGUCCUUCAAAGCCUCAGGAUCCAUCUUGGAUGAGGGAGCAGAAAGAUUAUAAAACCCAGAGGCUAGGAAGGACCAGAGUGAAGCAUUGUUUUCUGGACAUGGCUGGACAGCUGUCCUCAUGAGCCCAGCACCUGUGACUGCCCCAAACCUGCACAUUGUCGCCUGGAGGAAGAAAAAGGCCCAUGAUUUCCCACACACCCCUAAUGGAGGAGCCAUAGACAGCUUGAGGCUGGAGGAGGAAGAGUCAGUUUUCCACAGGGGUGUGGCACCUGGUGGCUUGACUGUGCUUCAGUGGACAGCUUCAUAUCCAGGAGUAUAUGAGUGACACAGAUUAGACUUAACAGGUUAUAAAACAAAUAAAAAUUUUAAAGAGAGGUUUUAAAGUUGGUAGGGGGAUAGAUCUUAGGAAUUAGUGGGAAGUGGUAUGGGGGUGAACAUGAUCAAAAUAUAUUAUAUAAAAUCUCA